Betta splendens (Siamese fighting fish) is the source of this 970-nucleotide long non-coding RNA. RefSeq lists it as uncharacterized. The transcript has 3 exons. The record is from RefSeq and is a predicted model, not a curated record. Lineage: Eukaryota; Metazoa; Chordata; Actinopteri; Anabantiformes; Osphronemidae.
AAUUGGGCAUAGGGCCAAAACAUUCAUAAAACUUCAAGCUAAGCGUAAAAUACCCUGUCAGAGGGACGCUAAUAUGCACAAAUUCAAAGAAACGUGCGCAAGUGUUUAUGUCCUGCACUUCGCUGUUUAUGCUAGUUAGCUCGAAGCUAAAGUAGCAGGAAAUGAUCGACAGCACCUCUGCUUUUGCGUCAUGGAAGCCUCCACCAGGAGCCAGGAACACCUGACGCUGAACGUCAGCGAUGCCUAACAGCAGUGAAGUACAUGUGGGAUGAGCAAUGGUUUGUCAGACUGAGGGAAGAACGGAGGUCUCCACUCUUUACUGGUUUAACCACAGCUCAGGUCUCAAAGCCGCCCGACCCAGUGGACCUGACCUGGUGCGCUAGCUCUACCUGAGGGCAGUCUGCCAACCAUGACUGUGUGAUGCAGAAAUUCAAUUCUUUAGCGCUGAUGUCAUUAGUUGAUUGAUUUUUACGCUGUGGAGAGACAUAAAAUGACACAUAAUGUAAAGUAUAGUCACACUGGUGCAGAUAUCAGGAAGGCAAAUGUCACAAAGGGUCAACAUGAACGACAUAAAAUAUGAAAUGAUCGUGAAAAUGCCUGUUCAUUUACUGUAUAUCCACCAUUUUGGAUUUGUCAGACAUUCGCUGUCUUUUUACGUAUAUGGAUUCUCUUUAUACGUCUAAUAAUUUUGCUAAAGCUAAGUGAACUGUAAGCAUUAAUAAAGGUGUAUUCAUAUAAUUGAAUGAGUCACUGUAUGUAGUUUACUUGUGGACGUGUCCAUUGACAAAAUCGCUGUUCAAGCUUGUUUUUUACUGUACUUUUUUAAUAGAAUAUAUUUCAUUUCUCCAAACUAAAUGUGUUUUUCCCGAAGGCAAACGCUCAGAAGUGUCCUAAGUAGUGACAACAAAAUGCAUUAGAGGCACUUAAUUAACUGUUGCUUUGAAUUGUGAAAGAAAAAAUAAAUGUUAUG